Molecule: ribosomal RNA, 301 nt
Filed under: uncultured bacterium
Lineage: Bacteria
Description: partial 16S ribosomal RNA
Rfam family: Bacterial small subunit ribosomal RNA
Source: RNAcentral
CAGCCGCCGCGGUAAUACGAAGGGGGCUAGCGUUGCUCGGAAUCACUGGGCGUAAAGGGUGCGUAGGCGGGUUUUUAAGUCAGAGGUGAAAUCCUGGAGCUCAACUCCAGAACUGCCUUUGAUACUGAAAGUCUUGAGUUCGGGAGAGGUGAGUGGAACUGCGAGUGUAGAGGUGAAAUUCGUAGAUAUUGGAAAGAACACCGGUGGCGAAGGCGGCGACCUGGCCUUUAACUGACGCUGAGGCGCGAAAGCGUGGGGAGCAAACAGGAUUAGAUACCCCCGUAGUCCCUGUCUCUUAUAC